CGGUUGAUCCUGCCGGAGGUCACUGCUAUUGGGAUCCGAUUGGCCAUGCGAGUCGGGAGGGUUCCGACCUCGGCUGACGGCUCAGUAACCCGCGGAGAAUCUGCCCUUAGGUGAGGGAUUCUCGGGAAACUGAGAAUAAUACCUCAUAGGUUAUGGAUGCUGGAAUGCUUCAUAGCCCAAAGCCCCGGCGCCUAAGGAUGACUCUGCGGACUAUCAGGUAGUAGUCAGGGUAACGACCUGACUAGCCUACGACGGAUACGGGGUGUGAGAGCACUAGCCCGGAGAUGGAUUCUGAGACACGAAUCCAGGCCCUACGGGGCGCAGCAGGCGCGAAACUUCCGCAAUGCUCGACAGAGUGACGGAGGGAUUCCAAGUGCCUACGCUAUGCGUAGGCUGUUUUUAUGUCUAAAUAACAUGGAGAGUAAGAGCUGGGUAAGACGGGUGCCAGCCGCCGCGGUAAUACCUGCAGCUCGAGUGGUGACCGCUAUUAUUGGGCCUAAAGCGUCCGUAGCCGGUUUUGUAAAUAUCUGGGUAAAUCGUGAGGCUUAACUUCACGAAUUUCGGAUAGACUGCUAGACUUGGGAUCGGGAGAGGUCAGAGGUACUCCAGGGGUAGCGGUGAAAUGUUGUAAUCCUUGGAGGACCACCGGUAGCGAAGGCGUCUGACUAGAACGAGUCCGACGGUGAGGGACGAAGCCCUGGGGCGCAAACCGGAUUAGAUACCCGGGUAGUCCAGGGUGUAAACAAUGUGGGCUUUGUAUUGGACGUUCCACGUGGGCGUCCAGUGCAGAAGAGAAGUUGUUAAGCCCACCGCCUGGGAAGUACGGUCGCAAGGCUGAAACUUAAAGGAAUUGGCGGGGGAGCAC
RNAcentral lists this ribosomal RNA (865 nucleotides) under uncultured archaeon. RNAcentral's name for it is "bacterial SSU rRNA". It matches the Rfam family "Archaeal small subunit ribosomal RNA", at positions 5 to 879 of the family's 1478-position model. The record is from RNAcentral.